UACGUAGGGGGCAAGCGUUGUCCGGAUUUACUGGGUGUAAAGGGAGCGUAGACGGAAUUGCAAGUCUGAUGUGAAAAUCCGGGGCCCGACCCCGGAACUGCAUUGGAAACUGUAUUUCUAGAGUGUCGGAGAGGCAAGUGGAAUUCCUGGUGUAGCGGUGAAAUGCGUAGAUAUCAGGAGGAACACCAGUGGCGAAGGCGGCUUGCUGGACGAUGACUGACGUUGAGGCUCGAAAGCGUGGGGAGCAAACAGG
RNAcentral lists this ribosomal RNA (253 nucleotides) under uncultured bacterium. RNAcentral's name for it is "partial 16S ribosomal RNA". It matches the Rfam family "Bacterial small subunit ribosomal RNA", at positions 524 to 776 of the family's 1533-position model. The record is from RNAcentral.